RNAcentral lists this ribosomal RNA (573 nucleotides) under uncultured bacterium. Its description in RNAcentral is "bacterial SSU rRNA". It matches the Rfam family "Bacterial small subunit ribosomal RNA", at positions 1 to 570 of the family's 1533-position model. The record is from RNAcentral.
UAGAGUUUGAUCCUGGCUCAGGAUGAACGCUAGCGGCAGGCUUAACACAUGCAAGUCGAGGGGCAUCGGGAGGGAAGCUUGCUUUCCUUGCCGGCGACCGGCGCACGGGUGAGUAACACGUAUGCAACCUGCCCUCUUCAGGGGGACAACCUUCCGAAAGGGAGGCUAAUCCCGCGUAUAUCGGUUUCGGGCAUCCGUUAUCGAGGAAAGAUUCAUCGGAAGAGGAUGGGCAUGCGGCGCAUUAGCUAGACGGCGGGGUAACGGCCCACCGUGGCGACGAUGCGUAGGGGUUCUGAGAGGAAGGUCCCCCACACUGGUACUGAGACACGGACCACACUCCUACGGGAGGCAGCAGUGAGGAAUAUUGGUCAAUGGGAGAGAUCCUGAACCAGCCAAGCCGCGUGAGGGAAGACGGCCCUAUGGGUUGUAGCCCUCUUUUGUCGGAGAACAAAACCCGGGACGUGUCCCGGACUGCGUGUAUCCGAAGAAAAAGCAUCGGCUAACUCCGUGCCACCAGCCGCGGUAAUACGGAGGAUGCGAGCGUUAUCCGGAUUUAUUGGGUUUAAAGGGUGC